This 253-nucleotide ribosomal RNA is filed under the name uncultured bacterium. Its description in RNAcentral is "partial 16S ribosomal RNA". It matches the Rfam family "Bacterial small subunit ribosomal RNA", at positions 524 to 776 of the family's 1533-position model. The record is from RNAcentral.
GACGGCGGGUGGUAGCGUUGUUCGGAAUCAUUGGGCUUAAAGCGCGCGUAGGCGGCAUUGUAAGUGUCUUGUGAAAUCCCACGGCUCCCCCGUGGAACUGUAGGGCAAACUGCAAGGCUUGAGGUCGGUAGAGGCGCCUGGAACUCUAGGUGGAGCGGUGAAAUGCGUAGAUAUCUAGGGGAACGCCGGAGGCGAAAGCGGGGCGCUGGGCCGAUUCUGACGCUGAUGCGCGAAAGCGUGGGGAGCAAACAGG